This 253-nucleotide ribosomal RNA is filed under the name uncultured bacterium. RNAcentral's name for it is "partial 16S ribosomal RNA". It matches the Rfam family "Bacterial small subunit ribosomal RNA", at positions 524 to 776 of the family's 1533-position model. The record is from RNAcentral.
UACGUAGGCAGCAAGCGUUGUUCGGAAUUACUGGGCGUAAAGAGUGUGUAGGCGGCCAGGUAGGUCCGCUGUGAAAACCCGAGGCUCAACCUCGGGACGUCGGCGGAAACCAUCUGGCUAGAGUCCGGAAGAGGAGAGUGGAAUUCCCGGUGUAGCGGUGAAAUGCGCAGAUAUCGGGAAGAACACCCGUGGCGAAGGCGGCUCUCUGGGACGGUACUGACGCUGAGACGCGAAAGCGUGGGGAGCGAACAGG